UCCGCCCCUGCCUGCCCGCCGCGGAGGCGGCUCCGGCGGCCGGCGCGGCCCCGGGCGCUGCGGGCGGGGAAAGGGGCCUCGCUGUGGGAGGACCCGCCUGGUGCCGGCAACAUGGCAGCGUCCAGCCGAGCCCAGGUGCUGCGGCUGUACCGGGCCCUGCUGCGGGAGAGCCAGCGUUUCAGCAGCUACAACUACAGAACGUAUGCUGUCAGAAGGAUAAGAGAUGCCUUCAGAGAAAACAAGCAUAUAAAGGAUUCUGAAAAAAUAGAAGAACUAGUGAAUAAAGCCAAAGCAAACCUAGAGGUUAUUCAUCGGCAGGCUACAUGACAUUCUUCGUUGUCAAAAGACUGACUCUUUGCUCUCCUAUGACAUCCCAAUAUUUAGCAUACUAGUGAGACAGAAUUCUUGUAGACCAAAUUAUGGAAAGUCAGUGGAAGUAGAAGCUAAGAUGUACUUUUGAACCUCGGUUUGUGGAAUGCUGAACAUGUUUCAUCCCAGUUUCAGGGGCACCUUUGACAAGGCAAGAAAAGUGUUUUAAUAUCACUGUCAAUGCAACCCUUGCCUGUCAUAAUGAGAAAGAUGCCUGUUUGGUGACUGCUUUUCCCAGCCCAAGGCAACUGCCUCCAGCUAGACCUUUCUUUGGGAAGAUCAAUCACAAAAUCGAAUAUAUAUCUCAUGGGAAAUUCAGUGUGUGUGAGCAGUAAGAACAAACACCAGUGGCAACUCCCUAUUUCAAAUUUUUCAGUGACUUUGAAAGAUUUCCUAGUGAUCCUGGUAAUAUUUGACAACCGUAAAUAAAGAGCACUCUUUACAACUUAGAUAAACAGCAAAGCGUUUUUACCAAUUAUUAGGCAUGAAAACAAAUCUCUUUUCUCAUACCUAGGAUUGGUCCUCCAGAUAAGGUUAUAAGUAUGUCAUCCUGACAAAGUAGAUAAUUUAUGAUACAGCCAGGUGUAAUUGUUCUGUGAAUAAAGAGACGCUUUUAGCUUCUAGGGAUAUAAAGUAUUUUUCAUUAAUAUUAAGUAAAUUUUAAUGAUUGAAGAAAAGACCAAAGUGGAGGACAGUCGUUUAUAUCCUGUCUAAACUGGCCUACAGCUACAUUAAUGUUUGUAAUAGAUUUAGAGUAUAGCUAAAAUAACAGUAAGGAUUUCCUCCUCUUUUUCCAUACCCUGUCGCCACUUUUUAAACAUACAUAUGACUAAAAGGGUGAAGGCUAUCUGUUUAUUUGCUAUAACUUACAGGAGACAUUAAAGAAAAAUGGAAGGUAACUGUAAUCACCGUUGUUUGAGAAGCAGUGAUAGAUUGCGAUUAAAUGGUUUGAGGCUAUUAAUUGCAAUGAGAUUAUACUGGUUCAGAUACCUCUGAUGGCAGGUGCUUGAAAUAUUAGUUAUUUCAAAGACAUAUUAGAUUAUAAAUUAUUAGCAAAUCUGUAUCAAGGUGAUUAAACCCACUUGUAAACUGUCAGACAUGGGUACUAUUUCAAGUUGUAGUUUAGUCACUUGUGUACUGGAAAGAGAGUUGGGACGUAAAUUUAGGGGUUAUGUGGGAAUAUGUGGAGUAACUGAGUUGCUUUCGAGACUGUGCAUUUCCUGUGCUUUCUACCCUCAUAAUGAAUGUUUGAUCAGCUUUCAAGUUUCUCUAGUCCACCAUAAGCCUUUUCAUCUGACUCUGUAGAUGCUCUAGAGAGGGAGGAAGCUGCUUCUCUAAGGCGGACUUAAAAGCUCACUUGACCACUUGGGGGAGAUAAAAAACAGCAGAUCUAUGCAGCCCUCACAAUAGGUCACAAAUACAGUAAUGGCAUCCUUGAAUUUCCAUUCUGAGGGUCUGCUCUUGAUAGACAGUACUGUUCUCAGUAAAACAGUAUUUUUUCCAGUAGGAAGGAUAAAAUACAUUGCUCUGCAAGCAUCUUCUUGGUAGUAGCAGCCCAUGUCAUUAAUCAAAUGCUGUUUAUUGAUGCAGAUACAGAAUUGUUAAUGGUUUGGUAUUGGAUUUAUUGAAUUUUAAGGAAUUAGAAAUUGAAACAGUAGAAGCUGAGGAACAGUUCUGUAGUUUAAAGGUCCUAUUAACUUGUGUAGCUACUGAAUUUCGCUGUGCGUUCACACUCUCACAUGCACACAUAAACACUUACAGGAUUCCAGUACCCUGCACAAAAUAAACAAAGCUUGAAGCCUGACAGUAUGUACAUCCAAAGCCAGGAAAGUGAAAAAAAGCAAAAGGACAUAUUUUUACGUUUAUUUUCUCCCAUCAGUGUUGUUUCAUUCCAAGCUUGAUGCAUUCUCACUGAUAUGUUGUCUUUGGUGUGUAAAUAUUUGCAAGAGGGUGUUAACAGAGUUACAGGAAUUUUGCAUUACUGGUUUUCUGCUUUUCAGUUUUUUACCUAAAAUGUUUGCUGCAGUCAUUACAAAACUUCGUAUUCUAGAUAUUCUGUUACAUGUACUAUUAAAAGUACGAUCGUCCAUGGGAAAUAUUCCCCAGCAGUGUCCUGUUGGUAACUGUAAUAAUAAAUAGAUGUAGUUGAUACACAGCAUAACUUCUACCAUGGACAUCACAGUUCCUCUCAAGUGCCCUGGGCUGGAGCUGGGCUUUGAGGGCAGGGGGGCUCCUGUGUCAUUCCGCUUUGAUUUUUCUCCUGUGAUCUUUCGGUUUCUCUUUGUUUUGAGCCAUUUCUUGUAGUUGAGGAGCAAUUCUCUCCUCCUCACUCCUGCUGUAUAUCUGGUGUUAGGUCUCUGCCUUGCCAGAAGUACCUUCUGCGGGCUCAUUCUCAGACUUGUUCGUGCUAGUUACCAAGAUGACAGGGCUUGUGUUUUCUCAAGAGACCUUGCAGCCUACUGUGCUGGAGUGAGUCUUGGUCAGCUGAAAUGGAUCCCAAGAAUGGGCUUUCCUUCCUGGCCUUGCCUCAAGACAUCAUGGCCCUGCAGGCUGCUUUAUGAGGCUCAUUAGCCUUGAGGCAAAUUGAGAUCUUACCCAAGCUGAGUAAGUAUUAAUGAGGAAAUUCAAGGACCAGAGGUUUUGUCACUCUUCCAGCUUGAUGAGCAGGACCAUGAACACUGCAGGAUCAUGUUCCUUUCUUCCAUCUGUCAGCACUGUUUUCCCACUUUGUUCCUGGUACUGAAUAACUCUAUCAUGCUCAGAGGAGAUGGAGCUAGAGCACUUCACACCUCAGUCAGUCGUGCUGGACUCAGGAUUAGUGCAAACCCUUACAUCAUUAGUGCACAAAAUGUUGGUCUGCCCAAUUAGAGCUGCAGCAGUUUGCUCCUUUUCUUUAUAAUUUCACAGAUUGCUUGUCUAUCAGUGCUCAAAACAUGGUCCUCUUCUGGUGUGGCGACUUGUGUCCUACAGUGAUUUCUUCCCUUCCUCCCUGGGGCCCAGCAUGAAUCUUUCCUCUGCUGCUUGUAGCAGGCAAGAUCACCUGGCUGCUUGCUGGGAAUAUCCAAAUUGUGUUGGUUCCUUGUUCACAGGGCACAGGCAUCAAACCUCCGCAGCAUCACAGAGUUGUCUGUGGGUGACGCCACAUUUACCAAACUUGUCCUAUAGAUGCUGUUUGCCUGGAAACUCCAAGAUCCCCCUUCCACAUAAGCUACUUCCUCUGGACGCCCACUGCAAAUGUGUGUAGAGCAAGUUGUUGAAAAGAAAAAAGAUUGUUUAUCAGUCUUCAGUGUUUGUAGUGAUGUGAUAUCUAUUAAAAAAAAAAAGUCAUAGCCCACCCUCAUUCCACUUUUCAUUAGAGAACCUGCAGCAUACAUUUCAGUCAUAUCGUGAAACUAGUCAUCUCUUCAAAGGACUAAACUUUCCAGUUAUUUUGGAUAGUUCUUUUGGUUAAGAAAGUAAAUGUUAGCUCUGUGAAGUGUUGUGUUAUUUAUACAUGCUUUUAAAAACAAAUUAUUUGUAAGUAAACACAACUGAAAUAAUUUUACAUUUCUCAAUCCAAAAAGCCAAGUAUCACACAUUUCACAUAAUGUGUGAAUAUUAUUUUCAGACAUUUUGAGAGGUGACUUGUUUCACAAUAUGACUGUAAUGGAGUUAAUAGAAUACUGUGCUCAUAUGAUUUGUUAUGAGAAUGGGUUUUAGUUUGUUUUUAAACUUUAUAAAUAGCCAUAUAAAUGUACUCGACACAUAUUUUUACAUUUUUUAAAAAAACUCCAUUGUCCCCAAAUUCAGAGAAAGUAAAAACUUCACAUCCUCAGUACAAACUUAGCAUACUUUUGCCACAGGGACUUCAAGCAUUUUCUGUCACUUUUACUUGUUCCAUCACAGAAACCUCUGAUUGCAUCCUCACUCCAGAAUCUUUUAAGCUGGUGAGGAAGCAUCAAUCAUCAUUCACACCUUUAUAGUCUGGUGUUUAGGUGGGAGAGCGAUGUCCCUGGGAGUUGCAGCUUUUUGCCAGUGCUCAGCUCAGGGCAUUGGAAUUUCAUCACUCGCUUUAUUAUUUCGGUCACAUUUUCCUUAAUGCUGUACAAAAAUUCGUCUAAAUGAUUAUGCUCAGUCAUGAAGUAUGCAGUAUAGAUGACAUUUCAGUUAGGGAAGGAAAUGUUUGAACAUUAUGGUUGAUUCAAGUGAGUGAUCAUACUACAAAUUAUUUGAAUGUCUUGUGAGUGAGGGAAGAGAUUUUGGCUUUCUAAUGUCUCGUUCUUUCAAAGAAAAAAAAAAAAAAGUUAAUUCCCAAAGCCAUAAAAAGAAUUUUAAGAGGUUUGCUGCUACCCUGCUGUAUGUCCUGCAUGGCCACCUACCCCUGUUUGAAGCGGGUGGUAACAGGCUGUCCCACGGUAGGUGAAGAGUUCUGAAUCAGCAGCAUUUCUGCAGGCACUUUGUGCUUGCUCAAGAUUCAGUAAUGCGAGGUGUGGCUGUGAAUACAGCCAGGCAGGGAAGGGCAAAGCUGGCUGAAGUUCUUAGCCUAACAUAAAGAUCCUUUUCCUGUAGCACACCAUUUUUCACUUAGGAAACAGUGCUAAAGGCUAAAGGGGGAACAAAAGCUCUUAUUCCAGAAUAAAUGCGUGCAGGAGAACAUGAAGAAGCGUGCAUCAUUCUUGCUGUGUGAGGGAAGUAAUCACAGCCAUGCUUUUGUUUCCUAAAGCUGGGUUUGAAGGGUGCCUCCUUCACAUUAUGCAAUUCCCUGAAUGAUCACUUUGAGACUAUUUUUGCGCUUCUGUGAAGAAGCAAAAUAUUGUUCUUUGUAUGUGUAGAAAGCAUAACUGUUUGUUCCAGUACACAAGAAAGUUAGCUAGUUCUGAACACCUCUUCAGAGUGCUUUGAUGUAGAAUAAGGAACACAGAAAAAGAAAGAAUAAGGAAGAAAACAGCCCAGGUUGUUUUUUCUCAGCAAAUCGUGACAAAUGCUUACUGACCUUGUGAUGAUGGAUGUAUAAGAAAAAAUUGUUAUAUUUAUUAUCUCCUGUGGAGUGACUGUCACACAGUUCAUGUCCACGCAGGGAGGUAUUCCCACUGAUGCCCAGGCUGUUGCAUCACCUCUUGGCUGGCAGAUGCUUUGAAGAAUGGGGAGAGCUGGGUGUUUCUUUACCCACCUUUUGUUUGUUGCUGUUAACCUGGCACCCAUUGAAACCACUGACAACACUGAACUAUUAGCUGGUGAUCACUCAAGUUUUUAACAGAUGUACAAGCCAUCUUUAGUUAUUAUGCCACAGGUUGCAAUAUCUGCUGCCACGACCAUGUAUAUCCCGUUGACCCUUGUCGAAGUAGGGUCGCUUUCUCCACACACAUAUUUGUGUCUUCUGCAGUUGGUUAUUGCAUGUGUGUGCUUUUGUUUUUUGUAGUACUGCAAGAACAUUUGUGUUUCUCUUCGCAGAUUGCUACGCCUGCAUCUACUGCUUUUAGAUCUCAGUUUUGCUUACAGGAUUUCCUGCAUCCUCUACAUGUAGUAGCAGUGGCUUUCAAAUUUAUACAGUGUGCAUGGAAGUAAACAGCAGUUUUCAGUGAAGCCUCCCAGUCUGCCCCAUUCUCUUUAACAUCAUCAACAAAAUUUGAAUACAUGAUAAUCCAGUGAAUACAUACAUGCUGAUUUAAGGCAGCUUUAUCUUCUGCAAUGGAGCUAUAUUAAUCCUUAAUCAUAUCUGAGAAAACACCUGCUAAUGGAGCUAUAAUGUGGCUCUUGACAACCGAUGCUAGAAGGUUUCUGCUGGCUGAAACAAAAUAUGCUUCAAAUGUGAAUGGGAACAAGUUCAGAAAUCUGGUGUGGCAUUACGCCUACAGUGAAACCUGCAAUUCUUUCUGAAUGUAAAGUACUGGAGGAAAAUUUUUCAUGCUGAUGGUCAUCACAUUGGCAUAGCAGUGCUGCUGUGGCAGUGAAUUGUGGUUUUUAAGAACUGUAAUGUUAUAGUACAUCAAGGGGAUCAUUACAGCUGAGCAAUCCAACCAAGAACACCCUAAACAAAUGAAACUACUUGUUUAACAGCACCCCGUCAAUCACUGUGGUAUAACUACUUCAUGGUUUCAGUCCAGAAAGGCACCUCUGGGGACCGAGGAAGUAGGCAGGGAAAUUACUGAACCAUGUGUGUACUAUAAAACCCAACCUGAUGCAGUUUUGUUUUCUGUAUAACAACAAAUUAUUUUAACAUCACUGUUACAUAGUGCAAGAAACAGAUAAAGUUUCAUUUCAUAGGAUUGUACCCAUACUAAUAGGCACAGAUUUGAGUAAUUAUCUGCACUUUUGUAAACAAUUCCCAAGCAGAGCAAUCCCUUUUGUCAAAGACACACCAGUGCAUAAAGGGUUGUUUCUUCUUUUUUGAGAUUAUUUACUGCUAAAUAUAAAUUCACACAAAGAACAAUUGAUUUAUAAGAACUUGACUUAUUCUUCAUUAUCUUUAGUAUGAGAUUACAUUGUAUUAGUUGAUGUUACUAUGACACUAGAAAAAAAUAUUAGAUUGAAAAUCAGAAUUUAAAAAGUACCACCUGUAAUUUUGAUGCUAGGCUUUGCUCAUGGUGGUGAUGUAAUUCAGUUACUGCAAAAGUUUCUAGCUGCCCUCUGUUUCGUAUUCACUUUCUAUAUUUUUGUAGGUGACUUCUGCUUUUAUUUAAGGUAAGCAACCAAAAAAGGCUGGGCAGGGUACUUUAUUUUCCAAAUACAUAGGUAAACAAUAGGAAUAGCUAAUAUACCUGUUGCAGUGGAUUUAUUUUUAUUUAUUCCACUGAAAGUAUCUUGCUAAAGCCUGCCAUUUGUGGCUUGGUCUCUUUUGGUCCUUUGUUGUUGGAAGUUUACAUCAGUGUCCACAGGUCUGUGGAAUCACACGCUGUUUAAACUUGGUGGGGAAACUAUGACAUGUUCAAGCCACUGUUACAGCUGAGGGUACCCAGUCAGCAUCUUCAUACUGGGUUGUAAGAUGAUUAACUGACCAUACAAAGGAAGGAAAUUAGGGCAAUCUUCAAAAUGUUCCUUAUGCAAAUAUUUUGACACUAUCAUGUUUCUGUCAUUUUCUUCUGCAAACCACUUUGGAGGAGUUGGGGAGGGGAAGUAGCCAGUCUGAAGUCUGAAGUAGACCAGGCAGUCUGAAAAGCAUAGAUCUUUAUUCAUAUAUUAUUUUGCAGGCAAAGCUUCCCUAGGUGCUAGUAGGGAACCAGGGGGCUCAUGCAAAGACAGAACGUGGCAGAAAAUUCUGGGGAGAAUGCAGAACAAUUUUGGGGAAAUAUUCUGAUGUAUUUAAUACUUGCUGUAAUUAAAUGAUCUUUCAGAGCAAUGAUUAAUGUGGAAUCCAGUGGGAACUGUUUCUUUCAUGUUUAUACAGAAGUGAUUGAUGGAAACUAAAUUAAUUAUAUUCAUAUGACAGAAGGUCUGAAAAUACAAAAUGUGCUCUAAGCCUUGUUUAAAUCUGCAGAUAAAUGUCAAGUCAUCUUUUGUGUCUUUGGUUACACAUUUUAAACUUUUUAUUUGCAUGUUGGCAUUAUGUAUUUUAUUCUAUGGAAAAAAAAAAAAAGGCCUUUCUGGGCUUGUGGAUUUUAUACUGCUGGUAUCAGAAGUCUCUUCUGAAUCUGUAUUUCUGUAACAGAUUAAAAUAGCAAUCUCUCUGAUCUCUUGGGGCUUCUAAUUAUGAUUUUUUUUCAAGUCUUUACUGAGUUAGUAUUUGAGGCAACACAGAAUUUAGAAAUGCAGCCCAUCAGCAGUUUUCUGGAUCCUAGUUUCUGCAUGCAGAAUAGUAAAGAAGUAUAAAUUAAGUUUAAUAAAAACCAUCAAAGCAUCAUGCAACUAUAUAUUUCUGCUGCAAAAAUUUUAUAAGUAUUUAGUAGAAAACUAAAGGGUAUCAUCAUAUUAGCAUGAAAAAAAAUCUGUCUUAAAAUUCAUAAACAAAUUCUAAUUAUGAAUGCCAGUAUAUGGAAUUAAAGGAAGGAAGUAGUAGCAUGCAGUUUUUCAGUGCAUUAUUUUUAGUGGUUUAGCCAUACAAAAAAUACAAAGGGAAAGGCAGCAUGAGAAGAUGUCAGGCUGUUUCCCCAAGAUCUUCUUUAUUCUCCAGCACCUCUCCAGGGAUCUUACAUGUUCUGCUGAGAUGGGCUGGUGGGUGCCCGCUUCCUGGAGGAAAUUCGUUUUGGAAAUGAUACGUUAAAAGGAAGUAGUUCACCGCUGCUGCUUUUGGAGUGGAAGAGGCCCUGUUAAUGGGAGAAAUGAUAAAAGCAAGAGAAGACUUAAGGGCACAAGGGUUAAAGGUGAAUUAAUGGAUAGAAUGAAGCAGUGUGGGAAAGGAAAAAUAAGUAUUAGUUGUUACUGCCUUGCCUCAGCUGCUUAGAAGAUUUUCAGCUCCCUGGUAUUAUUUAUGUGGUUUUGAGCACCAUUAUGUAUAAACAAAAACGAGAGAGAUGCAAGUCUUUCCCAAUUAGUGUCUGCUUAAGAAAUAACCUACUUUUUAAUUAUAUCUCUGUUUCUUCUAGCUUGCUGUCCUGAAUCUGUCAGAUUUUACCACCUCCUUUGUAAAUGACAUGGCCUGAUGUCAGACAAAAAAAUGUUAACCUGUUUUAUAGUUGAUAAUUUGAUACAGAUACAGAAUCACAUCAGUGUUAGAGACAAUUUUCAACCUGUGUUAGUUGCACUAUUCUGCCCAUCCUACUGUUGUACAUGACAUGUCAAUCAGAGCAGGUUCUUUAAGAAACACUUUUGUGUUUUCUGCUUGAAAAUUUAUGUUAAUCUGGUACAUAAAUACAAUGAGAAAGAAAUAACCCGACAGGGUUUUCCUGCACUUUCCCCAGUGUAAUUAAGGUCUUGUGUUGAUUUCAUAGUUCAGCAUAUUGGUGUUGGUCACUGACACUAACACUGUCAGAAACCAAGGGAAACGGGAGUCUAUUUUUUUAUUAUUCAUUUUUAAAUUAAAUUGUUUGGCUGAAGUGCCCAAUUAGCACUGGUCCAAUUACAAGAUACCCUGGUGAAGGAGAGCAGGAAGCAAUACAUCUCGCUUCCUAAGCAGAAAGUUCAUUUUAUUUUUAAUCAGUGCUAGUAAGGAAGACUUCCUUGGGAGUAGGCUUCACUGAGGGUUUGUUCAUUAUCAGCUCAAGGUGAAGCCAAAGGAAACCUUUCUUAUUUCAUUCCAGAAUUGAUUAAAAAAAAAAUAACAAGUGCAUGCACAGGAGGUUGGUGCAUGUAUUUAAAAGUAAGUUGCUAUUGGUAACUGCUGAUUUCCUUUCUUGGAAAAGUCAUUGUUCAUUACUUACCUGAAGUGAAAGGUUAAUGGCCUGUAACGAUCUGAAGAAACCCCCACGAAAAUGCACAGCAAGGAUCUAACGUUGUUAUACAGUAGUGCUUUCUACAAUACUUUUCCUCAGGUAAGACAAACAUAGAAGAGAGCUGUUGCUUUUCUAAUAAAUAUAUUCGAUGUAAAGUAGUAGCCGAUAUACUGCAAAAUGAAAAGGCUCCUGCUACUGUCAAACAGACAGUUGCCACCAAGGGCACAAAUUUUGCUUUCUUUAUUGAUGUUUGCAAACCAUGCUGGCUAUACUUUAAAACUGCUGCACUUUUUUCCAUAAAAAGCAUCUUUGUUGUAGUAGAAGUAACUUAUUUUGUAGCAUGGCUGUUGCUUUAAUUGCUUUCUUGAUAGCUGAAAACUGUUACUUUUGGCACAUUUUUUUUCCUUCUUGCAGUUUGAACACAAUUUAAAAUGAGAUCUUGUGUAGUAUGUUUGAUAUUGAGGUAUUCCGAAGAAUUUUGUUGGCUCUCUAGCAGAAGCUUGGACACUUCAGAGACAUCAAUUAGCCGCCUCACUGAGAUGCGUCUGUGAUGUAGGAUUAAGCCACGUCUACUCAGCAGCUCAGGGAAGAGAAUGCAGGAUACGUGUUUCAAACCAUAGAAGGAUUUCAUGGGGAUAGGCUGCAACCAUCAGUCUGUAGUUGAAGAAGAGCUCUAAUUUGGCAAUGCCUCUGGAAACUACAGUCCUGUGUGGCACCUUGUGUUAGUGAAAGUAGGUGGUGUGGUACAUGGGAAGAGGGGUCAGGCUGGCUAGGAAGCAGUUUUUUCCAGACAAGAUACCAGAGUGGUGUUGGGGAUUAACCUGGCUGCUUUCCCAGUCACUUCACCAAACAGCUGUACAGAUGUUGCUGGCAGCAGGAGCAGAGUGGGGAGGAGAAAUUGCAGGAAGGGGCUUGACUGCUUUUUUGUGAGUGACAGUGAUAGCCAGUAGCAGGAUAAAACAUGCAUCAAAUGGCAGCCACUGAUUUUUAAAAGCUCUGGAAUAACAUCCUUCAUCUUCUGAAAGAUGCAAGUGGAGCUCAAUCAAAGGUAUAAAAAGAGCAUUUUUCAGCAGUAGCGCUGGUAUAAGCAGUUCCACCUUUGAGAAACAGGAGGUUGGUUUCCCAGUGAAGGCAUCUAGGCAGCCCCCAGCCCAGAGCAUCCAUCACUUCCAAAGGGGCUCUCUGCAGAGGGGGAGCCCAGGGCAGACUGCACUGCCACAAAGAGAAACAUCAACCCAACCACAUGAGUGGGGACAGACUCAGGGCCAUCGCUUCUCAGGGUUUAAAGAUAGCAGGGAAGGGGUCCCCACUGCUUCUGCGUAGUAUUUCUGCCAGGACUAACUCAAAACAAGUGAUAUCACAUAUAAAAUCAUUAAAAGCCUUUCUUGCAGCACUCAGAUUUUCCUCUGAUGCUGACCAUUCUCAGCUGGGCCAAGCUUGAGAGGAAGCAAUAUUGCAUAUUAAAUAGGUAUCAGCACCUUCAAUAUAUUUAGUGCGCGAUGCUGCCAAGUGUCUUUUUUGUCAAUGUUAUUGGCAUAGGUAUUGGAAUACUGUGUGAAAUUUCUUUUUAUUCUCUCCCUACAAGCCUAUAGCUGAACAUUAUGAUAGCUCACAGUCUGCUAACCUAGAAUUAUUGCUUUAGUCUAACUUUUCCACAUUGAGUAAAAACUUCAAGAAGGCACAGAUCUAUGCCAUGAUUUACUUGAGUGAUAAUUGAUGAACUUGCGAUUUGACUAUGUCACUUAAUAGAGAUGUGUAUUUUUCUGCCAAAACGGAAAAUUUUUGAACCCAGUUGUCUUCCUACUUUUUUCCACUUGUCAUCUCCCCAGCCUUCUUCCUUCCCCAUCAUCCUCGCUUCACUUGCCAUAAAUUGUUCCUUUCUUCACUUUCGGUAGUUUUAGCCUACUUAGUUAUAGAAGGCACUCUACAAAUAUUUAAACUGAGUUAGAGGUGAGGUUGGAUAAGAGCUUUGAGAGUGCAGACAAAGGAGAGCAGCUGAGCCAGGUUUGGUGGAGCAGAUCCUUCUGCUGGAAGUUGCUGCUGCCUCACGUGAGGCGCAUCACCAGCUGCACGUACAUCCCUAGCCUGCUGCAAUGCAAAUAAAAAAUAGGGGUACCUAAGUAAGCUCACUUCAUUGUGCAUCAGGGUAGACUUGUUGCGCAGGUGCGGUCGGUUGCUUUACCUCAGCUGGAAGGUUGGAACUUCUUACACCUCUCUCAUGUGUGCAGACAGUUGUCAGGCCACGUGUUGUCCUAGAAGUGCUCCUUGGGAACAGGCAUGUGAAAAACAGCUUAUAAAUUAGCUUUGGGAAAAGUCCUCAAUGACAAAGCUUGUGUGGUGAAACUGAUUGCCCUAAGGUGGGAGAAAAAAAAAAAAAAAAGAAAAAAGUACAUGCCUCAUCCAGGGAAUUGUGAGGAAAACAGGAGGUUUGCUCAGCACCAUUGCAGCUCACAAAUACGUCUCUACCAAAGCAAUGAAAUACACAUUUGUGUGUGACAACUGCAUUGUACAGAAAUCCCCUUCAGCUAUAUGUAUUAGUUCUGGUUUUAGCUGCCAUUCUUUAAAGGAACAGCAUUAAAGGGAAGAAUAAACCACUUUUUUUUUUUUUCCAUAUGUAUCUUUAAGCCUUUUUCUCAAUAUUCCCUUUCUAGUACAGUGAAUAAUUUGUCAAUCCCAUUGCUGCUGCCUGUGAGUUAGCCUUUUUUUGACUCAUCCGUUUGUAGCAGCCUUUCUCUAAUUAUGUGUGCAAAUAAUUUUGGGUGCACUACCUGAGAUGAUACCGGUUAUCUGCGUAAAGAUAUUUGCUUUCUAAUUUUUUCCUUUAUUUAGCUUACAUGCUGUUCAUUUUUCUCAAGUGGUGAGGAAUGCAGGGAAGGGAGAGAAAAUAAUAGUACAUCACUGAGUAGAACAACAGUUGACAGCAGGUUAUAUAUUAGUAAGAGCAUAAUAAUUUUCUACUGCAAGGCUCUGUUCCAAAGAGAAACUUCUACAAGGUUUUGUGAAUCUUUCUGAAAGCAUUGCUUGUUGAACUGUUGCUUUUGACUCGGAACUUGUUGUAUAUAUAUGUCCCCGCUUUUUGUGCUACUGCUUAGAAUCGUCUCUAUUGUGAAUAGAUUAAAUAUUUUAAUUGUUGUAAAUGUAACUUUCUUGUCUGUUUUGGAAGGCUUUGUGGCACUUUUAUGAAUGUGCUUCAGGGCAUAGUUUGGUUAACAUGUUUUCAGUGUCAAAGUAAGCGUGACCUGGAUCAACAAAGCUGAUGGAGCUGAAAAGUAACUUGUUUUAUUAUUGGGGAAGAGAAGAGGUGUCAUUUACUCACCAAUUUAUUUUUUAGUGUUUGUUAGAAAGUUAUCUCCCUUACCUCAUGGCUAUCAAAUUAUGUAUCGUAAUAAUUAAGGAAUAACGGAUGGUGACAGAAGGAGCUGCUGAACUCGCUACAAGCAGCACAACCCCGAAUAGGUGUGUGAACAUACCAGUAAAGCAAAAUACUUCGUGUCAAGAACCUGAUGCGUAUGCUUUGAGUUUGGGGUUUUACUGUGCGUUAGUUCUUGUCUAGUCCUGACAGCUUAAUGCUGAGUUACUGCUGGAGCACAUUCGGCAUGGUUCUGGAGAUCUCCCAGGUGAUUUCCUUGGAGCCGAAUCCACCCUGUGCACUCCGAGGCACUGGGCCACAAUGUGGAGCAAAGCGUGGAAGAUGAAGAAAUUCACUUUACAAGUGCGCUCCAUGUACAAAGUAAAACGUCAGCGUAGAUGCACUCCAAAAACCUUAACUUCUCCACAGUGACAAGAGCAUGUGGUCGCACAAGUAAUUAGAGAUGGCCUUCUGCAUCCUCUCAUCAUGUUGUAACUUCUGUGCAAGCUUCUUUCUGAAUUCCCUUUAUUGCUGAGAGAAACCUUAAAGCAGAAUAAGAGGAUGGCUUAAUAAUUAGCAGGCUCUAGCUAUAUACACAACUGAAGUGUGCUUCUGCCAGCAUGAAGGUUCAGCAGCUAGUACCUGGGACACCAGUGACAUGUUUAAUUGGUGUAUUGAUACUAAGAAGCAUGUGAUAGUAUAAAGCACAGGGACUUUUGUUACAGUUUUGGCAAACCUGAGCUGAAAGAAAAAGCAGCACAGAUGGCUGAAAAUAGUAUUAAAAUAUUCCAUUUCAUGUCUGCAGAAAUCAUUAGACAGCAGUUAAAGGGGUGUUAGUAAUGCAUCAGAUUCACUUGGGGAGUUAUGUUUCCGUAAUGUCCACUGAAACAAUGAUACUUUUGUUUUUCUUUUUAAGUAGAGCCCUUGCCAAGUGCAGACGUGUUUCUCUGCAGCCAUGAAAUGGAUUUAUCGACAGUAAAGAAGAUGCAGAUUCUCUCAGCGGCUUGCUUUACUUCUGCCAGCUCAGCACAAUAAGCAAGCAGUAGCAUGGCUAUCUUUGUCUGUCCACCAUUGCCAAAAUUAGUCUUAUCAGUUUUGUGGAGUUAUCACAAAAGUAGCAUGUUGAUUUCAUGCUGACAGUACAUGAAGAUGACAUUUUUUUUUAUGGUAAAUCAGAAGAUCAACAUAUGACCUACUUAUAAUGACAUUUAACACACAACUGGCUUAAAUGCAGCAUUUCAUAGUAAGUGAACCUUUGAAACGUUCUGCAGAACUUAGGAGGGCUCUGGGCUGUACAGUGCUUUGAUCAAGACUCUUCAGAGCACAGUACAUACAAUUCAUUGUAUGUGUUUCAUCAUCAGUGCUGAAUGCUUCUUACAUUACUACAAAAAACAAGGGAGAAUUUUUUGGCUGCCGAAUUAAAAACGAUGGCUUUAUUGCAGUGUGUGACAAAGUCGCACGGUACUGAUCUGCCCUGUAAUCGCAUCUUCUCUGGAAUGCUAACAAAAUCCUUUACAAGCAUCACUGGAAUAAUACAGGGUCGUUUAUUGAUCUUUAGUCUCCAUGAAGAACCGCAGUCUUAUUGAUUCAUCUACCAUUUACAAGCCUCUGUCUUGCUCUUAAAACUCCUUUUUAUUGGUACAGUUUGGUAGUUUCUGUUUAGUUUAUAGGUGUAUUUCCUUGUUCUUCAGUGGCAGCGAGGUAAACAGAUGUGAAUAGGUGAGCUUAUAAACCUGAAAAUUCUAGUGUGAAUUCAGUCUCUCCAAUUAUAUUUAUUUUCUGGAUACAUGAAUACUUUUGAACUUGCUGAGGCAGAUGGUUUGUCUGGAGCUGAAGCAGCCUCUGUGUUUCUAGAUAAUCUAAGAUAGAACAGUUUGAAUUAUGUCUAUUUAAAAUUCUUUUCUCUCUCAAAUUUCAUCAAAAAAAUCAUACAACCAAGUUAAAACAUUAUCCCAUAAGCAAAGUGUGAUCCCACCUAAAGCCCAUGGUAAUUUUGCUAAAGGAUUCAGAGAGGACAGGAUUUAACUUACACCUUUUCCCCCACUAAGUCUGUAGAAAAAGGCUGUUCCUGCACAUUACAUCCUUUAUAAUAACAAAUAUUCAGAUUCAUGAGUUUGGGCUUUAGUAGGGCUAAACAACCACUGCUAGCUGUUCUGUUUGUCCUAUAAAAUGUUGUCUCCCCACGUGCUUUUCCUGCUGUACUGCUGUUAUUUUUGCCCACGAUGAGCACGCUGGCAUCUUGGCCGUGCAGCCAACAGCUCCAUUUAUAUAUUUUAUCUGGCAGGUUUCAGCACCAGCGACUGUGUGAUGAGACCUUGGUAACUAGAAAUAAACUGAGCCUUGUGCCUCCUGGGACAGAAAUGCUGUGGUUUUCCUCAGUUUGGAUGAAUGCAUUGUGUGUUUCUUGUUUUAUAAAGAGCAUGUGGGGAGAAAAAACAGUAAGAGCUCCUGGAAAGAUUUGUAUGUUAGUGCCUCUGUAUAGGCCUUGUGUUUCAGUCAAAGGCUUACUCGUGUUUGGUGUGAAUUUCAGUGUGUUUCUAAUGGAUGCAUAUGUGAGUAGGCAGUUUUCUCCAGCAGUCUCAGGAGCCUGAGAGUAGUGCUUGUGGCAGGAAAGGCAGAGUGAAGUGAAACGCAAUUUUUGAAUUUUUACAUUGCUCCGAAGGGCACUUGCAUGUUGAUUCUUAGGAAUUUUAAAUAAGCAAUGUGUUGAGAGAUGAGCAUCUGAAUUUCAAAACGAUUGUACCUGAAAAGCUCUGUUGUCUCUUUCACUUACCGUCAUUUAUCUCAGCAAGCGGCAAACUUCUAACAUUGUUAGAUGUUUCAGAAAGCAUCGUCAUGAGUUUGGUCUGGAUAACUUACACACACGCUUUGGAAAGUGUCAGCAUCACUGUUGAGGAAUUCACUUUCUUAUAGCGAGACUGUAUUACAGUUACUCAUUUUUCAGAAAUGUGUAUGUUCGUCCUCUAGUAUGAAGUAAUUUUUUACUACAGGUAUGUUGCCCUUGCAAAAAAUAUAUAUAUUUAUUCAAAUCAUCCUGGAAGAUUAGAUUCCUAUUUGCUAACUAGUACGAGUUUCAAACAAGCCUUAGCUUUUUUUCUCAGUAGUUACAACUGUGUUACAUUUGCAAAUCAGUGGCUUGAAAUCUUUUUGAAGAGCUGAUCGAUGGGAGAUGCUUUGAUGUUUUGUUGAAGUUGCCACCUUGUGCAGUGCAGUGCAGUGUUGAAGCUGAUGCUUUAUAGCUAUGCACUGGCAAUCAGUAACUACAACAUUGCUGUUUUGGGAGUGUUGAAUUCUGGCAGAUUCUGUGCAUCGUUUUCCAGCAACUCUUUUACUUUAAUUUGGUUCUAGAUAAGGGAUUUACAUUAUAAGUGAAGAGCUUAAAACUGUACUUGUAGUUUUUAUAUUGAUUCACUUGUCAAUUUGCCAUGUACCAUCCUCUCCACUACCCUCUCCUCAGUGUCUGGUUUUCAGUAUUAGCAAGUGAAAGUUUUAUACAGUGGUCCACUUGUAAAUAAGUAGUUUCUAAUUUCAUUUCACUAGCAGUGUCUGCAUUUUCUAGGUAGCCAAGAGAAAAACAUGUUGUGCAGCCACUUGCCACUGUAAACACUCCAGACUAAGCAAUGAGCUUUUGGAGGAGCAGGGGUGGAGAGCCCGUCCUUUUGAACUCCAUGGCACUCCUGAGUGGUUUAGGCAUGAGUCGAGUCAUGUCAUGCAACCAGCAGCACGUUUCGUCAAAAACAGGGAUGUUGCUGUCACAGAUUUGUGAUUUAGGGUCCUGUGUGUUAGCUACCAUGCCUCUACCAAAUGCCCAGCUUUCUGAAGCUGCUUGGAUUCUACUGAACUUAGGAUGUUUGUCAUAGCUGGAGAGAUGUGUAAACAAAAAUAUGAGCAGUCAGUGAUAGCUGGUAAUACCCUACUUUCAGGUAAUCUGUGAUUCUCUGUAUUUCUUCCAGUAACACUUAUGUGAUUUACAUUUCUUUCUAUACGUUCUCUUCUAACUUUUCACAGUUCACAAGUUGAUAUUCACAUGAUGAAGGGGGAAAUUUCCAGUGGAUAUUUGCAAAAUAUUUCAAGUGGCAUAGAAAUAGUAAACAAAAAGCAACCAACCUAUUAUUUCACCCCUCUACCCCAGAAAACUGCUUCUUGAAGAUGAAGCAAUUAGUAUUGUCAGGUUGCCUGGAGACAUAUCUUUCAAGAAUGGGUGAAAUUCACUGUCAGCAAACUAAACCAACAGCAAUCAUUAUUAAAUCAGUUCAUUUCAGAAGGGUAUUUUUUGCUUAAAUAAAUGCCAUUGAACAUUACAUUCAACCAUGUUGUGAAACCAGAUUAUGAUCAUUCUUUUUUCAGUAAUAUAAAAACUCCCUGUUCCCUCUACUUAACAGAACAGGGUCAGCCACAGAGUCAGAGAAGAACAGAAUGGGAUCUUGAUGGAUCUUAUGGAAUCAUAAGUGUUAUGCAAGAAUAAGGGGUUUUUUUCUAAAUUGACUAGGUAUUCCAAAGUAGUGGGACCUGGAAUAUAAUGAUAUUAUUAUUAUAAGCUGUGCCGUAUAAAACCACAACAACGGAUCCUCUUCACACUAACAUUUCUCUUAUUCAGAGGCCAUAGUGGUAGGUAAACAUAUAUCCUAAUUUUUGGUGGUGCAGAUAGAAAGGUGUAGUCAUUUAGGCCCACACGGUGUUAGGUGUGUCAGAGAGAAAAGUACAGACAGAAUCACAACUUAGGUCCUAAUAUGCCCUUUAUUUUCUUGUAAGAAAAUAACUCAUAAUGCUUCUAAAUCCUACUGCUAAUUCUGCUGUAGAGCAGUGGAACAUAAUACAGCAUGCACCCAAACAAGCUCGAAAUGAAGCGUGCUUAAUUUUAGUCAGUUGUGGCUCAGAAGGUCAAAUCUUAGCAAUAAUGUAUAGAAAAGCACCCACACACAGCCAUCUCUUCUUCUCCCACAUGAAAACCUCUUUUAGAUGAGAUUCUGUUGUCCUAUUUAAUACAUGCAGUUCGUAGUUUGAAUAUGUGCAGAAUUAGUAUUUGUUUUCAUGGAUUGCUAAUGUUUUUAAUAAAUAUUCCAGGCUUGAUAUUGCUGGAAAGUGUUUUUACCAUACACUUUAUGUUGGGGAGUUGCCUAGCAAGUUCAAUUAAAUGAAAAUAUUUGCUCUGGCAUGCAAGCAAGUUCUAAAAAAGCUGAGGCAAUAUUUGUGCUGCAGGAAAUGUCGAUAAAGACUUGCUUAAGUUUUGCUCCUUCUGUGCUGAAUUAGAAUCCUUUUAUCAGAUACACUGCAUGGUUCUGUGUUUUAUUGCUUGUUAGGGCGGGGUUAUUUAUUUAUCUCAAAGCUACUUUAUGCUUACUGAGAAAAUAUAGCAAGAAAAUAACCUAGGGAAUCUGAGCUGUGUGUUAAAAAUCACCUAUUAAACAUAGCGUGGUUUAAGUUAAUUAAUUAACGUAUGUAAGAAGUAGAUUGGUGAUUCUAUUUUGCAUCUUAAUUUUUUGUGGGCAAAGAAGAACCUUAGAGAUAUUUGUACUUUCUUCAUCUACAAUCUCGUGGCUAUUGAGGAAGGUCAGUAAGGUGAAGGGACCUAAUGGAGUCAGAACCCUUGCAUUUCCUUUACAAAGGUUAAGAAUAUUAGUAUAUUAAUCAAUAUGACAUUAUUCUUAAUAUAUUUGGCAUGAAACACUAGUAUUUUACAGGGUUAAUUAUGUUUAGUUUUACAUAAUAAAAUGCUGCUGCUUUUCAGGGCACCAACAUUUUUCAUGCAUUUGACACACAAUAUAAAAGUUAUAAGUGAAUAUAUUAAGUUAUGCUUUGCUGAAGAGAAAGAGAUUGGAUAUCAUUCAUUGCAUGGAGUUGGUGUGAGCGGAUGUGUUCCAAGACAUGAACCAGUGGUAAAAAUUGUGAUACUUUGUCAGGAAGGGAUGACAUGGACAAAGGCUUGAAACCUGUCUGCUGUCUUGUAAGUAAAAGAAAGGGUGAGAUGAAAAAGGAGGAAGAUCUCUUUGAUGUAGCCUACCACAGUGUAGAUAGGUUAACUGUGAUUUUUAUUUCCACACCUGUGUCUUUAAUAAAUGUUUGCAUGUUGUCAGUUUUGAAUUUUAUGAACGAAUAACUGUAUGUCCACUUCAUGGUAAUUUCAAUUGAUGCUGGAUAGCAGCAAAGCAUAAAGUGAACCUGACCAGAAGCGCAGAACACACGUCCUUGUCUUCCAGUGUAUUUUUCAUCAUACCUGAAGAUUAACAACUGGGUUCCCAUUUUUGCCACUCAAGCCAUGCGGUGAGUUGGCACCACAAGAACCAACCAAGGCAGCAGAGGUUUCUCCUACCAGCUGUUGGUGACAUUCCUGACAUGGAACACCAUGUUCCUGACACACUUGAACACCAAAGGUUGAGGGGAACGUGACGCUGUAAAAGUGUAUUCACUUUCUGUUUUUUUGUCUCUCACAACCUGAGAUACUGCUGGAAGGUUGUAUCAGUACAUUAUAACUGAGAAAAACGGAUUUUGUUUUUCGUGACAAAUAACGGCAGCAGUUCCACUUGGCUCUAAGCUGAUCAGUCUGAUGCCUAAGAACUUGAGCUUGCGAGAAAAUAGAGUCAUUAGAUACCUGCUUGCUUGCCUGGGAUAAUACCACACGGAACAAUGCAUGCUUCAAGAGGCCAGAGAUUUCUAAUAACAAAUGCAGUCAUUUCCCUAUUUCCUGUGCACAAUAUGUCAUCCUUUUGUAGCUGCAAUUUGAAGAAAUCAGUGAGGUACGUAGUCUCCUCGUACAUGCACGGCCUUUGGCAUUGUUCACCCACAACCUCUCCUCUUCUGCAGGAACUGGAAGUCUUAGCUGCCAGUCUAAGUGUGUAACUCAGCAGCCGUGCGUGAAGUCUUGAGGCAAAUAUGAAGAUGUUAGUUUUGUUUUGCAUGUUUUAGCUUCUUUCAUGGCUAGAAGAGGAGAUAUGACAGGACUGUGCGCAUGGAAGGUCCACGUCUAAGCUGUUUCCUUCCUGCAGACGCCACCAGUCACUUUUACUUAGUGCUUGCUUUUGCGAGGCCUUUGUAUUCACGUUAUUGCAGUCAUGGUUGUAGUACAAGAGAACAUUUCUAAGUUGCUCUGCAGCUGCGAGAAAAUACUGUUUAGGAAGCUUCUUGCUGGCAUUCUUUAAAGUCUCCUGAGUACACCCAUCUUCCUACAGUGUUCAGUAGCAGGACAGUGAUAAUGGAGUAGUGACCUGACCUGAUCACUGUCUUCAGUUGUUCGGUUGUAAAACAUCAUCCAAAUUAGAAAUUCUCAGCCUCUGCCUUGUUCUCUUGCUCUCUUCGGAUCAGGACUUAUGUCAACAGAAAAAUGUGUCAGGACAAAAGUUAUAAUGGAUAAUUAACAUUUUAGACAAAAUAGUGACAUUUCACCUUCGUUUGUGUGCUGCUUUGGGUCCUCUGAUACACUUUUGUCAAAUUUUAUCAGUUUGCCCUGUGUAUCCUGACUCAGAGACAGCAGCAUGAAUCUGAUCAGCAGGAACUAACAGUAGCUUGUGAGUGCUUAUGACAUUCUUCUCAAUGUCAAGUGGAUCUGAUGGCUGAGAAGUCAUUUUUUGUUUAUGCCCAAAUACUCAGGUUUUCUAAUAGAAAGUUUAAUCAGGUGGAGGUUAAAAAAAAGUUGGUGUUACUGCAUUACAUUACAGCAAACUUGUGAAAUUUAACUGAUCCGUUUGGCAAAAUGUUUUGAAUUACCUAUGAUGAAAUGUGCUGUCACAGGACUGAACGUAUUUUUUUCCAGAUUACUGAUUUAAGAAAAAAGUUUGCAGUGCUGAAAACACUGCACAAUGUUUAGUAGAAAACAUUAAAAAAAAGUGAGAAUUGGAAGCUGUAGUAACAGGCAGAAAUCAGUACCCAGUCCAUUUCAGUUCUUAAAAUUCCACUGAUUAUGACCUAAAAACCACUUUCUCUAUCGGAAUCUAUUUACCUAAUUAUUUUAAGUAGGUAAUAUUUUAUUUCCGUUUGCCUUAUUUGCUGCCCAAUUAAGUCCAUGCAUCUACCUGUCCUGUGUAUUAAUUUCUCAGUAAAUUCUAAUAAUUAAGGAAUGUAAGUCAAAGUUUUUCUCUUAAAUAGCUAAAGAUUGAUACAAGCAGCAUGAUGCACCCUUUCAAAUAAAGCAUACAGGAGUUUUAUUAACAGCUUUAAGGACUCUGUUGCCCGAUCCUAGAUGAACUUUGAAGGUACCAUUCACAUAAAGAAGCAAGCUUCAAUAGAUCUGUUUUUCAUCAUUAAUCCUCUUAAUAAAGUCAAUGAAAGGAAAACAGAAACAUACCUAAAGCUAAAAAGAAUCUGAAGGAAAACUUCUAAACAGCUUGUUGAGAGCCUGAGCUGCUAGAAGGUUCCUGGCUUGCCAUCCAGCACUAGCCACCACUAGCCCACGGGGUGACUGUCAUUGGGUCUGGCCUAGAACCGUCAGAACCCAGAAUCAGCUGCCUUCUGGCUGCCAGUCUCACAAUUGCCUGUUGUUGACAACAUGGAGAGACUCAGCAUGUGUCAGCUCUUGACUGAUGCUGUCAGUCCAUACAUUAAGCAUCUUUUUGGACAGGUCUGCUCGGGGUUGUGCUUAUACUGGCUGUCCCCACAGUUUUCCUUUUGCAUUGGGACUUAGAACAGCUAUUCUGACAUAGGUGGAACUGAAGGGUCAUAGAAGGGUUUUAAUACCUUCCAUAGCCUGCCCCACUAGUUGGUUUUGGCUGUGUUUGUGGUGCUUUCUUCUGGAGAAGCAGAGGAGUCAAGAUCCAGAGUCUUGGUUCUUGCAAGUGGGAAGGAAAUCUGUAUGCUCUGCUUGAGGUACUGUUUCAGAGUCCUGUCUGUGUUGCACUGCAUAUAUGAAUUCAUAAACAGGCUACAGAUUUGUCAACACACCUGCAACACUAUCUGAUAACCCUCAGCACCAUCUGAUAACCCUCAGCAUAGGGGAGCUCCACGCCAGCUCCCUCCCAGCCACAGCACCCCAGGCCCCAGGGCUGCUGCCCUCCAGCACUAGGGAGCAGGCCUGCUCCGGCACCCAGCACUGUCUGACAACACCCAAAAAUCUCUUAAAAAUGAAAAGAAAAACAAAUGUUGAUGUUUAGACAAACAUAAUCUGUUGAAUGGGAUGGACCUUAGUAGGUCUCUCAGCCUUCCACACCUCAGGACCCUCGGGAAUUUAGGUACUCACUUAGGCACUGCAAUGGGAGCUAAAGCCUUUUUCACGUGAUGCGUUUCUGGUAAUGCUGAUACCACCACUUGCUGUUGUCCUGUUGAUCUUUUUUGUUGUUGCUAUUAUACAGGCUGUUGGUUUUUAAUCUCUUCAACAGCUGACAUACUGUUUUACCAUUUAAUCAUCCUGCCACUGUCCUUGCAGACCUCAGUGUUUCCAUAAGGCAGCAACUGUCAAAUAUUAGCCAAGAUUUAGUUAUUUACUUUAGUUCUUUACAUAAGGACUGACUUACAGCUAAAACAUGCUUUUUGUCACUCCUGAAAGAUACAUUUACUUUGAAGGAAGAAUGGAUUAAAAUGUGUUCUUUUUACUUAAAAAACCUUUGCUCCUUCUUUUUCUAUGAUUGCUGGCCUAGCCAUGUAGGUUGGUCCUUCAAAGAAAGGAGGAAAAGAAGGGGUAAUUGUGGGGAUGUGUGUAUUUUUUCUAUGAAGUGACAAGAGUCUUCCACUAAAUGGCCAUUCUGAGCACUUAAUUACAGUGUUUAAUCUUUUAUUAUAGAAGGUGGCUGACAUUUUAUUUGAAUAAAACACACUUGUAACGAAGUGCAAAUGCAGAAUUCGACAGAAGUGAAGGUUCUGUAGCUUAAACAGUUACAGCUUUAUCUCUGGAAUUACUAGCAAUGCUGUGGCUGCUUUAAAACAGAAGGUAACAUUGACAUAUUAUGCUUGUCCCUUUAGACUUUAAAGUCUAUCUGUUAGAGUUAAUGUUAUGAACAGUGGAGAUCUUUUUCCUGUUUUAAACAUAUGUCUAUUGACUGUAACCAUGCUAUGGUUUCUAAGACUGAAAAGAUGCUCAGAAUUUCCUGUUCAUAUAAAAGAGGAAAAAGUUUAUUUUUUAUUACAUAAACAUCUGGGGAAUAUGCUGACAGCAUUUUUCUGUACACUGAAUGAAAAAGCACUGACUUUCUGUCAUUGUUUUUAAAAACUGGAUUUGGACCAGGUAGCUUUUCUCCUUGAUAGGAAAAGCUUGUCAGCUUGACCUUUGGCACCAUUUUCCUUGUGCUAUGACUCUGUUUUACUUCAGGGGGAAUAUUUUGAACCAGACAAUACAUUGUGGCCACAGUAGAGUCACAUCCUCUCAAGGAGCACUUGGUGACUUGCUUGGCAAGGCAGCACUCCCUAAAUUAUUACCUCAGCAGGAUUCAAACUAAAAUUAUUUAAAACGUCAUCUGCUGCAACUCAAUUUAGAUGCAGGAGGACAUUUUCCUGUUGUUAGAAUUUUGUUACUAUAUCAGUUUAAUUGUUUAUUAUUCAGGACUAGGUUUACCAGCUUGUAUUUCUUAAGCAUGUAGGACUGAACAUUGUAAAAUCAAUAUUUCUGCUAAUGAAGGUGGUUUUUGGGUGUAGGUAAUCAAACAGUAUAGUGAAUCAUUAAAAACUUACAUGCUAAUAUUGACUAGCAAUAUUGGCACAAAGAGACCAAAUCUCUGUGCCAUGAACUUUUUUCCUUCUUAUAUUUUUACAGCAGAAACAAAACACAUUCAGUAAAAAUUAAUGUUCUCAGCAUUUAGCAGUGUAGAGAUGGCCCUUUAUGGAUAUAAAAGCAAAUGCAGUGUGUUGAAAUUCUGGGCACUCAGGCACUCGUAUGUAGCAUUUUCAUUCCCAUCAUUUAACGUAGCAGUAAGUGGUGUCUGACUUGAAGGAGUCUUACUGUGCUUUCAAAUAGACGGAAAGCUCCUGCCUCUCGUGCAAAUAAAGGAUCAUUUCUAAUUUAUUGCCAAUCUUUGUCAGUAUCUUUUUUCCCUCCAAAAGAUGGUUUCUUCUUGUCUGGCAUUGACGAAUGUUUGGUUUUGUUUUGUUUAUAUUAGCUGUGGCCUACUAGGACUUCUUUGGGCCUUCUCAGUGGGUGUUACAGAACAGACCUCUAAGUGAUGAUUUGCUGCCACCUUAGGAAAUAGCUUCUCUUCCCCCAGUUCCUUUACCAUGAAAACAGUGACUGCAGGUGGGACACUGGACACUGUUGGACAUCAUUUUAUUCUAUGUGUUUGACUGACUUUUGACUUAGGACGCUGUAGUCAAGAACCUAGGGUCUGCAGUCAGAUCCAGCAUGACCUGACUUGGCUUUCUGCUUGGACCAGAUUCUUGCAUGAACAAACUGCUGAAGAUCCUUUUAUAUAAGAGUGAUACCUCUUUGGCAGGCUUACUUCAGGGCUGGAUCAUGUGCAGGGGCUGCACCAUUUUUUUAAGGAAAGUAGAGUAGAACAAAGACUGAAAAUACAUUCAUUCACUUUUCAGGCAUAAAAACAUGAAGUAUAAAACUCGUUAAUCUAACACAAGCCAAACCAUUGCAUCUGCUCAGACUGUUUUGCUCUGUGCUUUUUUAACUAUAUCACAACUUAAGAAGUUGUUCUGCAGUUCUUCACAGCCUUUGUAAUGAAAGGAAACUUGGCAUCACUGUAGAACUAAGGCAUCAGAAUUCAGCUGGAUUCUGGGAAGGAGCAACCUAAGGAGAGUUAAGUCAGACAUCAUCUGAGUCACAGCAAAUUAUAAAUGUGUUACCACUGUAUUUCCUGAGAAAGUUUCUCCCUAAAAUGCUAAGUGCAUUGUUAUCGUCUAAUCAGAAUUUCAAAGGAGAAGCAUUUUUUGAUGAAAACAUAGUAUUUAUCAUUCUUGUUUCUAAGAUUAACUUCUUCAGUUUGCAUGGGAAGUUUUGUAAUGCUUGCAUGUUGACUCAGGCAGUCUGUAGUAACUGGGGCAACUUCUAGUCCAUCUCUUACGCUAUCCUUCAGCAAUUCAACGUUUCCCUCUGAGACUGAAAAAAAAUUGAACUUACGUCCCUUAACAUGAGCUGAAGAAAAGCAACACAGUGAGAUACAAACUCUUGCGGUUACUAUUGGCCAGCUGUAUUCCACGCAGAAAUUGGUUAUUGAGGGUCCAGGAAACACAUAGCUGUGAGAAGACUCUGAUCCUGAAGCAACACUGGACCAUCUUCAGCAUCCUACAGUGCCACAUACAGAUGCAUAAAGUCACUGCACGUCGGAGCUUUUCUGUUUAGCAGAAGAAAUGUCUGAGAGACUCAGUUUUUGGCAACCAAAGUAUUUGCUAAUGGUUCACAUGUUCUAAAAUAUAUUGCUGUGAUUUAUAAUAGUAUAUAAGGUAGUCUUGGUAUCUGUUUGCUUGUAUGUCCCAUGUGAUUAAAUAGUUCCUACCCUACUUUGACAAUAAAACUUCAUUGAACUACCUGGAACCAGAUACAUUAUUCUGCUGCUGCCCUUUUCUCUCACUGAGCAUGAAAGAUGUGUUAGAUUUAAACCCCCUCACCUGCUCACUAAGUCUUUAUUGAUCCCAUUUCUUUUAAAACUACACAGCAUCUGAUUUGAAUCACUAAAGACAUAGUUAAUUUUAAAUAUUAAAAUCAGAGAUGAUCAGAGUUUUUGGCUCCUGGACCUUGAUACUUACAAAAAUAUCACAAGCUGCACUGUGUGGUUUCUUUAAAGAACAUCCCUUGACAUUUCGGGAGGUGACAUAAAACUUUCUCUAAUUCUUUCUUGAGUUUCCAAGAGUUAAUAACCACCCUCAUCCUCCUUUUAACACUUAACAGAUCAGAAUAGCAGAAUGUAAGACUUGCAUCACCAAGGCUUGGGAGAUUUAAAGUAUAUUUUCACCACCAGGUCCUUUUCUAAAUUUGUGGAGGUGAAGGUAUUAGCAGAAAGUACCACAUCACUUCAUGCAAGGUUUCCCUUUUUCACAAAGCUCCUGAAUUUUGCAGGAGAAAAAGAACCUGACUAUGAAAAUAGCUCAUGUGCUGUAAGUCCAUAAAUUAGCAGCAAGCUUUACCCAGCAAAGUGGAAUGCUCAGUGUGGUGUUUUAUUGCUUUUUAUUAAAUCUGUAGAAUAAUCAACACUUUAAAGACAAUUUGUUAAAAAAAAAAAAAAUGAAGGUUUUUGUCAGGUUCUGUUGAAGUCAUUGCUGUGCUUCAAUUUGUUUUCUAUUAUAAAUUUGCAAACAAAUAAGGCAUUGCAAAGCUGGUUUAAUGGCAUACAAAAGAAAGCUUCGUUUGUUUUUCCCCAGGGUAUUGUUGUGGGGUUUUUUUAAGAAGAGAAACAGAAACUCAAAACUAAUUACAUGGCACUGUCUCCUUUUAAAACCUCCUCUUAUUUUUCUUCGCAAAAUUCAUCUUUGUUUAGAACUUCUAUUGUUUUGCAUUGUGCAUGCUGUGUGAUAGCAUUAUUAAAGCUGACGAUAGAUAAAGUGUCUAAUGUAGAACAAACUCCCAUGUCUUACUACCAUUUAAAGUGUAUUUUAUAAUUUUGUACAGUUAGAUUUAAAUGUAUAGUAAUGUGUUCCAUUAACAACACUGUAGUGUACAGAAUAAGAUACUGUGACUACUUGAGUCUACGAAUGUAGCCUCCAUUUUCACCUUCAAAUAAAAGGCAAAUACAGUAAUAA
Columba livia (rock pigeon) is the source of this 26598-nucleotide RNA transcript. It is a transcript of the gene named LYR motif containing 4, with no coding region annotated. The transcript is spliced from 5 exons. NCBI's taxonomy places the organism in Eukaryota, Metazoa, Chordata, Aves, Columbiformes, Columbidae. The record is from RefSeq and is a predicted model, not a curated record.